RNAcentral lists this ribosomal RNA (397 nucleotides) under uncultured bacterium. RNAcentral's name for it is "partial 16S ribosomal RNA". It matches the Rfam family "Bacterial small subunit ribosomal RNA", at positions 523 to 918 of the family's 1533-position model. The record is from RNAcentral.
AUACGUAGGGGGCGAGCGUUGUCCGGAAUGAUUGGGCGUAAAGGGCGCGUAGGCGGCGCGGUAAGUCUGGAGUGAAAGUCCUGCUUUCAAGGUGGGAAUUGCUUUGGAUACUGCCGCGCUUGAGUGCAGGAGAGGUUAUCGGAAUUCCCGGUGUAGCGGUGAAAUGCGUAGAGAUCGGGAGGAACACCAGUGGCGAAGGCGGGUAACUGGACUGCAACUGACGCUGAGGCGCGAAAGUGUGGGGAGCAAACAGGAUUAGAUACCCUGGUAGUCCACACUGUAAACGAUGAAUGCUAGGUGUAAGAGGUAUCGACCCCCUUUGUGCCGGAGUCAACACAAUAAGCAUUCCGCCUGGGGAGUACGGCCGCAAGGUUGAAACUCAAAGGAAUUGACGGGG